Molecule: transfer RNA, 71 nt
Filed under: Aubrieta columnae subsp. columnae
Lineage: Eukaryota; Viridiplantae; Streptophyta; Magnoliopsida; Brassicales; Brassicaceae
Also listed under: 1 other name
Description: partial tRNA-Ser
Source: RNAcentral
CUCGAUAGUUAUUUUUUAUGRACUAUACCGGUUUUCAAGACCGGAGCCAUCAACCACUCGGCCAUCUCUCC